Molecule: ribosomal RNA, 490 nt
Filed under: uncultured bacterium
Lineage: Bacteria
Description: partial 16S ribosomal RNA
Rfam family: Bacterial small subunit ribosomal RNA
Source: RNAcentral
AUUGAACGCUGGCGGCAUGCCUUACACAUGCAAGUCGAACGGCAGCAUGAUCUAGCUUGCUAGAUUGAUGGAGAGUGGCGAACGGGUGAGUAAUACAUCGGAACGUGCCCUGUAGUGGGGGAUAACUAGUCGAAAGAUUAGCUAAUACCGCAUACGACCUGAGGGUGAAAGUGGGGGACCGCAAGGCCUCAUGCUAUAGGAGCGGCCGAUGUCUGAUUAGCUAGUUGGUGAGGUAAAGGCUCACCAAGGCGACGAUCAGUAGCUGGUCUGAGAGGACGAUCAGCCACACUGGGACUGAGACACGGCCCAGACUCCUACGGGAGGCAGCAGUGGGGAAUUUUGGACAAUGGGCGAAAGCCUGAUCCAGCAAUGCCGCGUGUGUGAAGAAGGCCUUCGGGUUGUAAAGCACUUUUGUCCGGAAAGAAAUGGCUCUGGUUAAUACCUGGGGUCGAUGACGGUACCGGAAGAAUAAGGACCGGCUAACUACGUG